ACCUUAUUUACUCCAACAUGAUCCCCUUUUUUUUCUCCAUUAUCUCCUCCACAUGUUUGCCAUAUGAAAUAAUUCAUUGUACCUAGACAAUAUUUUCACCUAUUGAACCAUUUUUUCCAUAGCUCCUCCCAUUCUCUUCAUUUUUUUCUCCUUUUGAUUUAGCCAUCAACCACCAUUUGUUCUAAUUUUCUCCUCUCUUCCAACACUUUGUGCCUUGAACCACCAUUGUCACCGUCGAACCUCCUCCUUGUCACCACUACUAUUCUCCUUUUGCUCCACCGCCACCCUAGCACAAUCAUAGCUGCCACUUUUGCGCACCACCAUAGAAAACAACCUCAUUUCUUUCUAUUUUCUUCCCUUCCUCUAAUUCUUCUUGUUCCCUUUUCCUUCUUCCCUUAUUUCAUCUUGUGCAUCAACCUUCUCUUUCUUCUACUCUUUCAUCAAGUUUUUGUUGGACUGCUAUUGCCGCUGUCGUCGUGCCACUGUGCCUCUACCGGUUUCGAUGACCUUUCUAUUUUUUCAUUAUUUUUGAAACUCUUUCAUCCUAUUUAGUACUUGAAAUCCUAUAUCUCUAUUUUCCUUUAGUUUUAAAUUAUUUUAUUUAAUUUAAAUGUUGUAUCUUGACUCACUCUUUCAAGUGAUUUUUCACGAGACUCUUUCUCUUCUCUAACUCGACACUCCAGUGAUCCAACACCCCUUCCCAUUCAAUUGAGUUAGGUGAGUAUGCAAGUUUUCACUAGACUAUUUUUGUUGAAGGGUCGAUCAGUACCAACCUGGAGAGUUUCUAAAAUUGGGAACAAGAUCACAUUGCGAUUAACUUUUUAAGGUUGAGUAUUAAUCAGAGUAUCAUUAGAUGGCCAUAUGCCAUAAAAUAGUUAAAACGACCCCCUAAUUGUAAGAUCGCUUUUGUUGAUAAGUAGGUAACUUAUUGAGUAGAACCAAGUGUGGGCGUUCUUAAGGUGGAG
Molecule: long non-coding RNA, 965 nt
Filed under: Gossypium raimondii (Peruvian cotton)
Lineage: Eukaryota; Viridiplantae; Streptophyta; Magnoliopsida; Malvales; Malvaceae
Description: long non-coding RNA (GRAI_LNC002616)
Source: RNAcentral